CGCGCUGCUACGUCGCCGCUCCUGCUUCGCAUUCAUGGCGCGCCCGCUCCCAUCCCUCGCAGGCCGAAACCUCCCGUGGGCUUCUCCCAGCGCCCUGAUGGUGGCAGUCGAGCAACGAGGCUGCGGCAGCCGGAGAACUAAUGGCCGCGGCGAAGGGGCGGCUGUGGCCGGCGCCGAGGCCGCGCUCGCAAAUCCGUGUGUUGGCGUGCUCGUGUGUGUGCUCUGGAGCACGUGUGUCACUGGGAGUGUCCCGGCGGAGGCCCAGCGCAGCCCUCGGGACUGAAAGAUUGCAAGCCCCUGCCUUGCGCCCGGCUCUGCGUCACGAGCUGCGAGGGAGGGAGCCCGCACGGAGCCGGGGCUGCCGGACAGGCACCUGUCAUCCCCGCGGGUGAGGCCGCUUGGCUUUCCCCUCGGCUACUGCCUCAACGUAAAACUGGAGAAAGACCGCUCUUUCCAAACAGGCAGGCCUGUGCUGGGCCCCGGGGUUUGGUCCCCGUCACAGAACUGGACGGAGGCUUGGCGUGAGUUUCCCCGCUGGCACAAAAGAGACGUGAAAGGCUGAGGAGAGCAGCCAGCAGGCCAAUGCUGCCAGGUUCUUGGCCCCUCCAGCAUCGCCGUUUACCGACCGCCAGCCAUGGCUGAAUGGCGGCACCGGCCACUGCAGCAUCCGCUCACCUCCAGCCCCAGCCAGGCCCCUGCCAGGGCGCUGUUGCCUCAGUCAUGGCUCAAGGCAUUCAGUGGGGUCGGCCUGGCAGAGUGACCCGCGGUCCGUGCCCACAGAAACCUCGGGCUGGUGAACUAAUGCGAUAUAUAAGCAAGAAUGUUGAACUAGGUUGUCUCAUUUGACUUAUCCAGGGGUUCACUGCUCUGGUGACUUGGCCUUCCGAUCUUUGAUUCUUAAGCUAAGAUUGUUGGGGGUAGUGGCACCUGAAUACCACAAUAUCUUUUUAACAA
Molecule: long non-coding RNA, 954 nt
Organism: Varanus komodoensis (Komodo dragon)
Lineage: Eukaryota; Metazoa; Chordata; Lepidosauria; Squamata; Varanidae
Exons: 2
Source: RefSeq, a predicted model, not a curated record